UACAGAGGUCUCAAGCGUUGUCCGGAUUUAUUGGGCGUAAAGAGCUCGUAGGCGGUUCGAUAAGUCGGACGUGAAAUCUCCACGCUCAACGUGGAGGGGCCGUUCGAUACUGUCGUGACUCGAGUCCGGUAGGGGAGUGUGGAAUUCCCGGUGUAGCGGUGAAAUGCGCAGAGAUCGGGAGGAACACCCGUAGCGAAGGCGGCACUCUGGGCCGGUACUGACGCUGAGGAGCGAAAGCGUGGGGAGCAAACAGG
RNAcentral lists this ribosomal RNA (254 nucleotides) under uncultured bacterium. RNAcentral describes it as "partial 16S ribosomal RNA". It matches the Rfam family "Bacterial small subunit ribosomal RNA", at positions 524 to 776 of the family's 1533-position model. The record is from RNAcentral.